CGAUUGAUCGAACUGUCAUCGAAAAAACUUUUUGUGCAGUACCAUUUCGAGAGUAGUUGCGUGCGGACGACGGAACGGAUUUCAAAUCGCGAAGAAUUUAGUGGCCAUCCGCAAAUUGCGGACCGCAAUUAGAAUUUGUGUAGUUUUGUGGGGGAAGAAAAAAGGAGCUUUCAAGAACAGUUACUUCGAGUUGCGUGAGUUCCGUGAGCUGAAUUGGCGCGAAUACUAAAAAGAAAAA
Molecule: long non-coding RNA, 238 nt
Organism: Aedes aegypti (yellow fever mosquito)
Lineage: Eukaryota; Metazoa; Arthropoda; Insecta; Diptera; Culicidae
Exons: 2
Source: RefSeq, a predicted model, not a curated record